CCUACGGGAGGCAGCAGUGGGGAAUAUUGCACAAUGGGGGAAACCCUGAUGCAGCGAAGCCGCGUGAGUGAAGAAGUAAUUCGUUAUGUAAAGCUCUUUCAGCAGGGAAGAAAAUGACGGUACCUGAGUGAGAAGCCCCGGCUCACUACGUGCCAGCAGCCGCGGUAAUACGUAGGGGGCAAGCGUUAUACGGAUUUACUGGGUGUAAAGGGAGCGUAGACGGCAGUGCAAGUCUGCAGUGAAAGGCGGGGGCUCAACCCGCGGACUGCGCCGGAAACUGUGCUGCUGGAGUGCGGGAUAGGUAAGUGGAAUUCCUCGUGUAGCGGUGAAAUGCGUAGAUAUUAGGAGGAACACCAGUGGCGAAGGCGGCUUGCUGGACUGUAACUGACGCUGAUGCUCGAAAGCGUGGGUAGCAAACAGGAUUAGAUACCCGUGUAGUC
This 440-nucleotide ribosomal RNA is filed under the name uncultured bacterium. RNAcentral describes it as "partial 16S ribosomal RNA". It matches the Rfam family "Bacterial small subunit ribosomal RNA", at positions 338 to 795 of the family's 1533-position model. The record is from RNAcentral.